Molecule: ribosomal RNA, 497 nt
Filed under: uncultured bacterium
Lineage: Bacteria
Description: partial 16S ribosomal RNA
Rfam family: Bacterial small subunit ribosomal RNA
Source: RNAcentral
GAUGAACGCUGGCGGCGUGCCUAAUACAUGCAAGUCGAGCGAACAGACGAGGAGCUUGCUCCUUCGACGUUAGCGGCGGACGGGUGAGUAACACGUAGGUAACCUACCUAUAAGACUGGGAUAACUUCGGGAAACCGGAGCUAAUACCGGAGAAGAUCUCGAACCGCAUGGUUCGAUAGUGAAAGACGGCUUUGCUAUCACUUAUAGAUGGACCUGCGCCGUAUUAGCUAGUUGGUAAGGUAACGGCUUACCAAGGCAACGAGACGUAGCCGACCUGAGAGGGUGAUCGGCCACACUGGAGCUGGGACGCGGUCCAGACUCCUACGGGAGGCAGCAGUAGGGAAUCUUCCGCAAUGGGCGAAAGCCUGACGGAGCGACGCCGCGUGUGUGAUGACGGUCUUCGGAUCGUAAAGCUCUGUUAUUAGGGAAGAACAAACGUGUAAGUAACUGUGCACGUCUUGACGGUACCUAGUCAGAAAGCCACGGCUAACUACGUG